AUGGCCUUUUUGGUAUGGGUUAGUUUGGCAAAUUUCUCUAAUCACUCUCGCAUGUUUCGAAGGAUUUCCAACAGAUCAGAACUGCCUGAGAAGAAGCAGCAGAAAAAUAAAAGUGAAGUAUCAUCACCUGGUCGUAAGAGAGCCAUGAAAGAUAAAUUGACAGAACGGACUGACAAGAAGCUUACUCACAGAAUUCGUCAAAAAAGAACAAAAGUUUCAGAAGUCAAAACUUUACUGGAAAAACCUGAUCAUGAGAUAGCACACAUGAAGCUAAGUGUGAUGCAUCUCAGAUUGUUACAAGAGGCCAGAGAGCGUAUUAAGAGUAAAACAAUUCUGUCAGGACCAUCAUCCUCUAAUCAAAGCAACUCCCAGUUUGGAGAUACCAACAGUUUUGAUCCUUUUGAAGAGAACUAUGAAGAGAACUAUGACAAUGACAGAAGAGAGAACCACGUGCUAGAAAAUGCAACCAAACUGAAUUACCAUUCCUACAUGAACAAACAAACACGGGCCAAAUGGUCGAAAUCUGACACUGACUUAUUUUACCAGGGUCUUCAACAAUUUGGUAGUGAUUUUGCAAUGAUACAGCAACUAUUCCCAGAUAAGUCCCGUGAUCAGGUGCGGCAGAAGUUUAAAACUGAGGAGAAAAAACAUCCAAUGCAAGUCCACGAUGCUAUACUUCAUCGCUCAAGAGAUACUUUGUAUUUAAAACAAGUAAUCAAACAGCUCAACAUCGAAGAUCUGCAGAGGGGCAUGAGCAGUACACAUAAACAAGAGGUUGCAUCAAUUGAAGGAGACACUGGAAAUGAGGAUUUCAUCGAGGAGGUAGAGAAUGGUUCAAAUUGGUCAGAUAAAGAGCUGGGCACGCGCCAAUCUGAGGUCAGAGAGGGGGAGCAUGUUUCUGGGAAUGCUGAUGAUGACCUGGAUCUGGAUGUUUUUGAUUGCUCCCAAUUUGGAGGUACCGACACUUUUGAUCCUUUUGGAGAGAACUAUGACAAUGACAGAAUAGAGAACCACGUGCUAGAAAACGCAACCAAACUGAAUUACUAUUCCUACAUGAACAAACAAACACGGGCCAAAUGGUCGAAAUCUGACACUGACUUGUUUUACCAGGGUCUUCAACAAUUUGGUAGCAAUUUUGCAAUGAUACAGCAACUAUUCCCUGAUAAGUCCCGUGAUCAGGUGCGGCAAAAGUUUAAAACUGAGGAGAAAAAACAUCCAAUGCAAGUCCACGAUGCUAUACUUCAUCGCUCAAGAGAUACUUUGUAUUUGAAACAAGUAAUCAAACAGCUCAACAUCGAAGAUCUGCAGAGGGGCAUGAACAGUGCACAGAAACAAGAGGUUGGAUCAAUUGAAGGAGACACUGGAAAUGAGGAUUUCAUCGAGGAGGAAGAGAAUGGUUCAAAUUGGUCAGAUAAAGAGCUGGGCACACGCCAAUCUGAGGCUAGAGAAGGGGAGCAUGUUUCUGGGAAUGCUGAUGAUGACCUGGAUCUGGAUGUUUUUGACUGGUACUAG
Molecule: ribosomal RNA, 1512 nt
Filed under: Triticum aestivum (bread wheat)
Lineage: Eukaryota; Viridiplantae; Streptophyta; Magnoliopsida; Poales; Poaceae
Description: partial small subunit ribosomal RNA
Source: RNAcentral